ACAACCAUCUUCACAACUCUCCCAUGGAGCAUACUAAAUGGUGAGAUUCUUUACAGUAUCUAGGGAAAAUGCAGCAGGAUAGAAGUCCAAGUCAAUAUCCAAAAUGAAAUUGUCUUCAAAGACACAAUCAACCUUGAUGGAAUCAAUGACAGCCCAAGCACUUUUGCUAUGACUGUUUUCAUAAUCAGGACAUGGAAUGCAACAAUAUGGAAAUCUGAGUGAUGCCAAACCAAGCUACUGUCAGCUGGUGAGUGAAAGAAGCGUAAAGGAUUCAUUCCACAUUCAUGCUCAGAUGACAGAGAAUGAAGAAUAUAGCAGUAGUGGUGGAGAUGGAGGCAGUGAAGAGGACUUUUCUACAAACACCAAAGCUGUGAACAGAAAGACUAUCUGGUCGUCAAACUUUCAUACAUCAGCUUGGCCUAACCCAAGAUGAUCCACAGUGGUUUGGAGAGUGAUGAUAUGCAGUGAGAUGAUGUGCUAGACAUCACUUCAGAUGACUAUGACUUCCCUCACUAUCAUAUUGCAGAUUUCCCCCUUGACCUCUAGAGCCCAAGGGUGCACUGGGCCCAGGUGUCCAUAUGAACUUCUCUGUCCCAGCCGAGGGGCAGUCUGUCUUAAAGACAAAAGGUGCCGAAGCCAGAAUUUGAAAUUGAAUAAAUGUUCUGAGAAGCACAAUUGUUGUGACGGCAUCUUUCAAAUCUUUUUUUUUUUUUUUGGUGAGAUGAGUGAAAAUUUAUGUAUUUUAUCUUAAAGAUUCUCUGCUUAUAGGUUUCCCUCAGAGAAAUUCUGAGAUAUUUGCAAUUUCUUACUAGAUAAAACAUCAAAAUUUUGCCCUGAUUCCCUCUCCUUUCUCCCCUUCCUAUUUUUUUUUUUAGUUUUAAUUUAUUGGUUAAACUAAUGGUAGCAAUCUUUGAGGUAUGUCAAAGAAUGUACAUAGGUAUGUGUGUAUAUUAUGUACGUGGUAACAUAUUACUGAAGGAAACAUUUUAAUAAAGAUUUCUGCCAUAUUUUCAAAAACCUUCUGGCUUCAGAUUCUGGGGCAAGAAGCUGUAAGAAAAUUACUUGGCAGCUGUGUGCAUUAAUUGGAGCUCCAGUGGGGAUAUCUUUCAUUGCUACCACUGCUAUUCCUGAAAUGGUCAUCAGCAUUCCUGUUUAUGUUGACAGGAAGAUUCACUGCAUGGAUAAAGGAAAGCAAACCUCCAACACAAGAGAAAUUUGGCUAUCACAGGAGGAAUGACUUUGUCAGUGAUUGCAUCCUCAGUUAUUACUGCAGUUAGUAUUGCUUUUGGCAUCCCAAUUAUGCUGGCAUAUGUUAAUGUGACUGGCUAAUUUGUCUCUCUCAUGGAGGCUGCUGUGGUGUUAGCACAGUUGACCAAAAGGGAAGGAAAAUUCAAUCAAAUGAAGAUUAUUUUCCAAUCACAAUGUCAGAUGCCUGGGAAGCCCUCAAGGGUCCAAGCACUGGGGAAAGCAGCAAUGAAGGCCUGACUAGUGUAUUCAGCACCAGUGGAAGCCCUACAGAUGGACCCUGGAUUAGUCAUGUCCCUUACAGU
Molecule: long non-coding RNA, 1550 nt
Filed under: Homo sapiens (human)
Lineage: Eukaryota; Metazoa; Chordata; Mammalia; Primates; Hominidae
Description: non-protein coding lnc-SRY-12:1
Source: RNAcentral